UCGAAGGCGCCCCCGGCAAAGGCAAUCCGGGAGAAAGACGCCAAGCUGCCCUCGGGAGCGCUGGGGCAGGCCCGCAG
This 77-nucleotide transfer RNA is filed under the name Pararhodospirillum photometricum DSM 122. Its description in RNAcentral is "tRNA-Arg". Lineage: Bacteria; Pseudomonadati; Pseudomonadota; Alphaproteobacteria; Rhodospirillales; Rhodospirillaceae. The record is from RNAcentral.